RNAcentral lists this non-coding RNA (29 nucleotides) under Drosophila melanogaster (fruit fly). Lineage: Eukaryota; Metazoa; Arthropoda; Insecta; Diptera; Drosophilidae. The record is from RNAcentral.
UAAACCCUUUCGCCAUGGACACACCCGAC